This 66-nucleotide transfer RNA is filed under the name Sphaerodactylus townsendi. RNAcentral's name for it is "tRNA-Leu". It matches the Rfam family "tRNA". Rfam says of the family: Transfer RNA (tRNA) molecules are approximately 80 nucleotides in length. Their secondary structure includes four short double-helical elements and three loops (D, anti-codon, and T loops). Further hydrogen bonds mediate the characteristic L-shaped molecular structure. tRNAs have two regions of fundamental functional importance: the anti-codon, which is responsible for specific mRNA codon recognition, and the 3' end, to which the tRNAs corresponding amino acid is attached (by aminoacyl-tRNA synthetases). tRNAs cope with the degeneracy of the genetic code in two manners: having more than one tRNA (with a specific anti-codon) for a particular amino acid; and 'wobble' base-pairing, i.e. permitting non-standard base-pairing at the 3rd anti-codon position. Lineage: Eukaryota; Metazoa; Chordata; Lepidosauria; Squamata; Sphaerodactylidae. The record is from RNAcentral.
GGCAGUGUGGAUAAGUGGUUAGGUCACUGGAAAAGAUUGACCUGGGUUCAAAUCUCUGCUCUGCCA